AAGCACCUGUUGCUGAGGAACAAGUUAUCCGUGUUGAGGGCACGGGGUUGCAACUUGUAUUAGAGGGAAAUGUUAUGCUACAGAUAGGUAUUGUUGUAGAAGGUAAGGAUGUAUCUGAAGAGCCAGUUCCUCAGACUGGUGAGCAGGUGCCCAGUACGAGUGCUGGGGUAAAGGAGGGGGUUCAUGUGGAGCUAGGCUCCCAGGUAGUGGAGGAGAUGCCCACUGCGAGUAACGGGAUACAGGAGGGUUUUCAUGUGGAGCUAAGCUCCCAGGUGCCCACUACGAGUGCUGGGGUUCAUGUGGAGCUAGGCUCCCAGUUAGUGGAGGAGAUGCCCACUAUGAGUAGUGAUGUUCAGGUGGGGCUAGUCUCCCAGAUAUUGGAGGAGAUGCCUGGUACGAGUGAUGAGGUGGAAGUGGGGAGUGUUGAAAGGGAUGUUGAAGAGGGGAGUCAGUUGUCUGUGGUCUCAGCUGAGGAUCAGGA
Long non-coding RNA from Oncorhynchus tshawytscha (Chinook salmon), 481 nucleotides. Lineage: Eukaryota; Metazoa; Chordata; Actinopteri; Salmoniformes; Salmonidae. The record is from Ensembl.